AGGGCGCACGGUGGAUGCCUUGGCACUAGAAGCCGAAGAAGGACGUUACUAACGACGAUAUGCUUUGGGUAGCUGUAAGUAAGCGUUGAUCCAGAGAUUUCCGAAUGGGGGAACCCAACAUGAGUUAUGUCAUGUUAUCGACAUGUGAAUUCAUAGCAUGUCAGAAGGCAGACCCGGAGAACUGAAACAUCUUAGUACCCGGAGGAAGAGAAAGAAAAAUCGAUUCCCUGAGUAGCGGCGAGCGAAACGGGAAGAGCCCAAACCAACAAGCUUGCUUGUUGGGGUUGUAGGACACUCUAUACGGAGUUACAAAAGAACAUGUUAGACGAAUCAUCUGGAAAGAUGAAUCAAAGAAGGUAAUAAUCCUGUAGUCGAAAACAUAUUCUCUCUUGAGUGGAUCCUGAGUACGACGGAGCACGUGAAAUUCCGUCGGAAUCUAGGAGGACCAUCUCCUAAGGCUAAAUACUCUCUAGUGACCGAUAGUGAACCAGUACCGUGAGGGAAAGGUGAAAAGUACCCCGGAAGGGGAGUGAAAGAGAACUUGAAACCGUGUGCUUACAAGUAGUCAGAGCCCGUUUAUGGGUGAUGGCGUGCCUUUUGUAGAAUGAACCGGCGAGUUACGAUCUGAUGCAAGGUUAAGCAGCGAAUGUGGAGCCGUAGCGAAAGCGAGUCUGAAUAGGGCGUUGAGUAUUUGGUCGUAGACCCGAAACCAGGUGAUCUACCCUUGGUCAGGUUGAAGUUCAGGUAACACUGAAUGGAGGACCGAACCGACUUACGUUGAAAAGUGAGCGGAUGAACUGAGGGUAGCGGAGAAAUUCCAAUCGAACUUGGAGAUAGCUGGUUCUCUCCGAAAUAGCUUUAGGGCUAGCCUCAAGUGAUGAUUAUUGGAGGUAGAGCACUGUUUGGACGAGGGGCCCCUCUCGGGUUACCGAAUUCAGACAAACUCCGAAUGCCAAUCAAUUUAACUUGGGAGUCAGAACAUGGGUGAUAAGGUCCGUGUUCGAAAGGGAAACAGCCCAGACCACCAGCUAAGGUCCCAAAAUAUAUGUUAAGUGGAAAAGGAUGUGGCGUUGCCCAGACAACUAGGAUGUUGGCUUAGAAGCAGCCAUCAUUUAAAGAGUGCGUAAUAGCUCACUAGUCGAGUGACACUGCGCCGAAAAUGUACCGGGGCUAAACAUAUUACCGAAGCUGUGGAUUGUCCUUCGGACAAUGGUAGGAGAGCGUUCUAAGGGCGUUGAAGCAUGAUCGCAAGGACAUGUGGAGCGCUUAGAAGUGAGAAUGCCGGUGUGAGUAGCGAAAGACGGGUGAGAAUCCCGUCCACCGAUUGACUAAGGUUUCCAGAGGAAGGCUCGUCCGCUCUGGGUUAGUCGGGUCCUAAGCUGAGGCCGACAGGCGUAGGCGAUGGAUAACAGGUUGAUAUUCCUGUACCACCUAGUAUCGUUUUAAUCGAUGGGGGGACGCAGUAGGAUAGGCGAAGCGUGCUGUUGGAGUGCACGUCCAAGCAGUAAGGCUGAGUGUUAGGCAAAUCCGGCACUCGUUAGGCUGAGCUGUGAUGGGGAGAGGAAAUUGUUUCCUCGAGUCGUUGAUUUCACACUGCCGAGAAAAGCCUCUAGAUAGAUAACAGGUGCCCGUACCGCAAACCGACACAGGUAGUCAAGAUGAGAAUUCUAAGGUGAGCGAGCGAACUCUCGUUAAGGAACUCGGCAAAAUGACCCCGUAACUUCGGGAGAAGGGGUGCUCUUUAGGGUUCACGCCCAGAAGAGCCGCAGUGAAUAGGCCCAAGCGACUGUUUAUCAAAAACACAGGUCUCUGCUAAACCGUAAGGUGAUGUAUAGGGGCUGACGCCUGCCCGGUGCUGGAAGGUUAAGAGGAGUGGUUAGCUUCUGCGAAGCCACGAAUCGAAGCCCCAGUAAACGGCGGCCGUAACUAUAACGGUCCUAAGGUAGCGAAAUUCCUUGUCGGGUAAGUUCCGACCCGCACGAAAGGCGUAACGAUUUGGGCACUGUCUCAACGAGAGACUCGGUGAAAUCAUAGUACCUGUGAAGAUGCAGGUUACCCGCGACAGGACGGAAAGACCCCGUGGAGCUUUACUGUAGCCUGAUAUUGAAAUUCGGCACAGCUUGUACAGGAUAGGUAGGAGCCAUUGAAACGUGAGCGCUAGCUUACGUGGAGGCGUUGGUGGGAUACUACCCUAGCUGUGUUGGCUUUCUAACCCGCACCACUUAUCGUGGUGGGAGACAGUGUCAGGCGGGCAGUUUGACUGGGGCGGUCGCCUCCUAAAAGGUAACGGAGGCGCUCAAAGGUUCCCUCAGAAUGGUUGGAAAUCAUUCACAGAGUGUAAAGGCAUAAGGGAGCUUGACUGCGAGACCUACAAGUCGAGCAGGGUCGAAAGACGGACUUAGUGAUCCGGUGGUUCCGCAUGGAAGGGCCAUCGCUCAACGGAUAAAAGCUACCCCGGGGAUAACAGGCUUAUCUCCCCCAAGAGUUCACAUCGACGGGGAGGUUUGGCACCUCGAUGUCGGCUCAUCGCAUCCUGGGGCUGUAGUCGGUCCCAAGGGUUGGGCUGUUCGCCCAUUAAAGCGGUACGCGAGCUGGGUUCAGAACGUCGUGAGACAGUUCGGUCCCUAUCCGUCGUGGGCGUAGGAAAUUUGAGAGGAGCUGUCCUUAGUACGAGAGGACCGGGAUGGACAUACCUCUGGUGUACCAGUUGUCGUGCCAACGGCAUAGCUGGGUAGCUAUGUAUGGACGGGAUAAGUGCUGAAAGCAUCUAAGCAUGAAGCCCCCCUCAAGAUGAGAUUUCCCAACUUCGGUUAUAAGAUCCCUCGAAGAUGACGAGGUUAAUAGGUUCGAGGUGGAAGCGUGGUGACACGUGGAGCUGACGAAUACUAAUCGAUCGAAGACUUAAUC
RNAcentral lists this ribosomal RNA (2907 nucleotides) under Staphylococcus aureus. RNAcentral's name for it is "bacterial LSU rRNA". It matches the Rfam family "Bacterial large subunit ribosomal RNA". Lineage: Bacteria; Bacillati; Bacillota; Bacilli; Caryophanales; Staphylococcaceae. The record is from RNAcentral. RNAcentral also lists the same sequence under 1 other name.